RNAcentral lists this long non-coding RNA (6944 nucleotides) under Citrus sinensis (sweet orange). Its description in RNAcentral is "long non-coding RNA (CSIN_LNC001169)". The record is from RNAcentral. Lineage: Eukaryota; Viridiplantae; Streptophyta; Magnoliopsida; Sapindales; Rutaceae.
ACGUCUCCAUUUCUCUCUCAAAUUUCUUCAUCUUUCACUCAUUCUCUUGCCAAAAUCAAUCAUCCAACUCAUUAUUCAUCCAUUACUCCUUCAAUUUUCACUCUCAAAACUUGAUUUCAUUAUCUCUCCACAUAAAACCCAAAAUCAAAAACCUAACUUACCCAUUUCUUUCUCUUCCAAUUUAAGCUCUUUUUAGUCCACUUUUGAUCCAAUCAACACCAUCCAUUAUCUUAAAUCAUCUCUUGGAUCAAUAUAAUCAGUUUAAAAUAAUCCAUUUCACUCAUUAUUUUACAAAACCGAGUUUGUGCAUUUUGGGUAUUUUAAAUUACCAUGGUUCCUUAUUAUAUUAUGCACCUACAUUUUCAUAUGCAUAAUUGUUUUAAUUGUAGAUUACGGAUGAUGGUUGUUUAAUAUUUGGAUAACUUAUAUUUGGAUGAUAUUUUCUGAAUUCGCCAAGACGGAUGUACGGUACAGCAGUAACCAUGUUGUAUAUUUAAGGAUUUGUUCAUUUUAAGGGGAGAUUCUGCCGAAAUUUUUGCUCGCACAAAAUUGGUAAUAUCUUUAUCGAAUUAUUUUUGAUGCUCUUGUUUCGAUUGCAUCUAUCUAUUUUUUAUGAAGGGGAAGAUAAAUAUGAUAUGUUUUUGGAUAAUAUUACAUCUAUCUAUUUUCUUAUUUAGGGGGAGAUAAAUAUGAUAUGUUUUUGGAUAAUAUCAUUUUGGUUAAAUUUUUUAAUUGGCCAUAUAUUUAGGGGGAGCAUACAAUAUGAUUUUGGAUAAUAUGCAUUUUGAGCAUUCUUUUGAUGGGUUGAUGGUUCAUGAUCAUUUUAUGGUUAAUUGGAUGUUUGGUUAUUAUAUGUUUCUUGAUUAACCAUUGACAUAUUAUCGAUCUUCACAUGAAUUUCUAGUAAUUUUGAUGAUGAAGGGGGAGAAGUCAUGUAUUUUGAAUAUGAAGACAUAUAAUACGUAUUUUGUAUUUCAAGUAUUUAUGCAUGGUUUUGAAAUAUUAAGGGGGAGCUUACAAAUUAUCAUAAAUCAAAUAUUCAGGGGGAGUUUUUGUUUUGAAUUUGAUUUAUAUGUUUAAUUAUAUAUGCCAUGUAUUAAGGGGGAGUACAAAUGUCAAAAUACAUGAGAUGUUUGUCAUCAUCAAAAAGGGGGAGAUUGUUAGCCUAAAGGGCUAUACAUAAUAUAAUUUUGAUGAUAACAAACAUAUGUAUUAAGUGAUUUAAUAAAUAUUGUAUUUCACAUUUUCACUAGUUUUUGAAGGAUAAUAUUUAUGCAAGUGAAUCAAGUGAAAUCAAGAUUGAAGACACUCAACGGACAACGGCGACAUCAAGAAUAGUCUGGAGCUCAACGAAUAAAUUAGUGCGAUAAAUUCUUGUAAAGCCGGUAUGAUUUAAUUGAUGCAUGAUUUAGAAUUUGAGAAGCUCAAGAGAUUAAUUUAAUUAAAUACUUUUCAUAAACUAAAAGUUUUAUUUUUAUAAAGUAAAGUAUUUUGUGGAUUUAAGUAAUUUGGACUUAAAUGCUAAGAUUUGAAAUCUUUGAUUUUAAAUAAGUAUUAAAUUUUGGAGUUGGACGUUUUUACAAAUAUUUGAAAUGUUUUGGGCCAUACUAUAAUUUAUGAAUAUGUUGGACUAAAGUGAAAGGUUUUGAGAACUUUGAAAAAUAUGGGUAUUAUGUUGAAAAGGACCUUUGUACGAAAUAAUAAAAUCAUUGGGGCCAUAUCAUAAUUUUAGAAAGUUUGGGAAAGACGACUAUUCUUAGGAAGUUCUGAAAUUGGAUCUAUUUGUAAAGUUUUAUGACAUUUUGAGCCAUAGUAUAAUUAUAGAAAGUUUUGGGUCAAAGUAUAAAUUUAGUGAACAGAGUUACUGUAGCAAAUUCAAAAAUAACGGUAAUAUCACUGUUCCUGAGCGGCUAGCCGGAUAAUCAAGCGGCUAACCGCUUGGGCGCGGGAAUUUACCUAUAACGGCUAGUUUUCGGGCUUUCACUAUUAAAACUCAACUCAAACUUCAUUCCUUAAACGAAUGCAAGGAAAAACAAGAUCAUAUAACAUAUAUUGAGCUUCCAUUUCGCAAAUCAUCAUUGAUUGAAUGAUCAUUGAGCUAUAAUUUGUUAUCUACUCUUAAAGAGAGUUUCAUUGUUGUGAUUUUCAUUUCUCAUCAAAUUGUGAGUGUACAAGUGUGAGAAACAAUUGGGGUGAAGAGAUUGGGGAGAUAAUCUCUUGUUGUAAAGGUUCAUUGACACCUUAGAAGUCAAUUGUAAACAUUUGAAGCCUUGGGAGGUUUGGAUAGUGAAAUCCUCAAGCCAGGUGUGCUUGGAGGCGUGGACGUAGGCAGGGAUAGCCGAACCACGUAAAAAUCCUUGUGUUUGUUUUCUCUUCCCUUACUCUUUUAAUAUUGUGCUUGAUUGAAUUUAUUAUUUUUUGAUUUGAUUAAGGCAAUAGAUUAAAUUGUUGUGCGAAUUGUAUUGCAUAAUUUUAAAAACCCAAUUCACCCCCCCUCUUGGGUUGCAUAACUUGCAUUUCAAGAACUUGUAACUUUUGGAUCUUUUAGUUUUUAUUGGUUGGAUACAAUAUUAUGACUUGAGCGUCGGAAGGUUUUCACCGAAAUAACUUCCAGCACCCCCUGACUGUUCUUUGUGCUUGCAUGCUCGCGGGUUAUUUGCUCAUGGAUCAUCUGCUCAUAGAACAUCUGCUCACGGUGCUCACUGAUCAGCAGCUCGUGGAUUAUCUGCUCAUGGUGCUCACUGAUCAGCAGCUCAUAGAUUAUCGGCUCAUGGAUUAUCUGUUCAUGGUUAGAGGAUUUUCUUGGAGAUUAAUAAGUCGCUUCUCCACCAAACAAAUUUAUUGCUGAUGCGGGGAUGUGGUAUUGAGUCAACAACUGACUCGACUUUAUUUCUGCAUCAAUAUAAAGUAUUAAUCAGCUUAAUUAAUUUAUAAAAUUUAAAUCUAAUUAAUAAGUGACACAUAAAUGCCAAGUGCAAUAUAUGCAAAUCAUGUUUGUCGAUCAUUACAAAACUGGCUCUUGAAAACAAGCAAGAAAGCUUAAUUAAGAACUUAAAACAAAAAGAAUUAGAUUGAGGACAGUCAAGCCUUAUUUUUUCAAGGAUGGAGCUUAUAAAUCUUCAAGUACCAACAUAUGCUUGGCCCAAUUGUUGUUAUUAAAAUUUCAAAAUAUAAGUAUGACAUAGCAAAAAUUUGAUGGUACAUGUGUCGGAAUAUACUAGCUAGUUCAUGGAUGCAUUUGAUUAUUGUUUCCAUAAAUUUGAACCAAGAAGGAUGACACAAUAAAAUUUGAUUUUAUUAUAUGGUUGAUUUCAUAUCUCAUGCACUCAUUUCUUAAGAUAAUCAGAUUUUCUCUGACAUCUUUUGCAAAUGUGGAAAUAUCAAUUAUGAUCAAUCAAAACGAUCUCAAAACCUUUCAACGAGACAUAUUCAUAAUACAAUAUUGUGAAAAUUACACCAAAAAUUUGAUUUAUUAUAUAUUAUUAUCCAACGAGCACACAAAAAUGAAUUCAUACAAAUCUAAAAUACUUAGCAAUUUUCAAAUAGAAUUUACCAUGUACUACAAGAAAAUAUGGUAUAUGUGACCCCUAAUGCGAAUGCAAAAGCAGCCAUUACGUAUAUCACUAAGAGCCUGUUUGGUAUGGCUUAUUUAAGAGCCAUAAGUGCUUAUUUAAUCGUAUAAGCGCUUUUUAAAAUUUUUUAUGGUGUUUGGUUAUUUUUUUAAUAGAGUUUUUUUAGCUUAAAUAAGCUAAUUUACCUCUACUAGGAAAAGCCCAAAAUUUGAGCUUUUGGGAGUAGAGGUUAUAAAGCUUUUCUAAAUAUAUAUAAUAUAAAAAAUAUCAUAUAGUUUCAUGGUUCAAAAAUACUUUUUUUAUUGACAACCAAACACCCAAUAAUUUUUUGUCCAAAAACUCUAUUGGCAUAAGCUCUACUGUUAUAAGCUCUAUUUAAUAAGCUGUACCAAACGGAGCCUUAGUUACGUUUAAAGUUUUUUACUAUAUAUUGCUGAUUCUAUAUUAAUAAUGUUACGUUCUAUUUUCAGAAAUUAUAAUAUAAACUGAAUUAACUUGUAGAAUAAGAGCUUGGAGUAGUGUUAUGUUCUUGAAUAAAUGAAAGUCCAUAUUGUGUAAGAGCAUGUAGAUGUAAAGCGCAUUGCCAUUUCUAUAAAGGACUUUCAUUCUGUUCAGAUGCUCCUCUUGAACUCUGAAAGGUGCCUCAUUCAAGUCCUAGCUAUAACUACUAGCUUUGAUUAAUUAAUUUCCUGUACUAGCAGAAACAGAUUUAUUUAUUUAAAUAAUUGUCUAUGUACUAAUUAUAAUGAAAGUAUAUGAAGAAAUUUUUUAACAUGAAUGACUUCUAAAUGACUUAAAAACCUAAAGGAUAUGAGAAAUAAUGCUCAUUUCACUUGAACGAGCCUAUUAAUACUUGUAUGUCUAUGAUUCUUAAUAUUGGCUUAAGCAUUUCAGUAAAUGGUUUACAUAACAGAUUUCAGUUAAAUGGUUUACAUAACAGGGAAAAAAAUUUAAAUGAAAACUUUAGAGUUCUAACAGAAAUAUAAUUGACUAUGCAGAUAUAGUUAUUUUAUGGUAUACAAAUCAUGUUGCCUUAAUCUCAAUGUCCUAUGACCUAUUUUAUUUUAUAUAGUCGUUCAUUUUUGCCAUCGCUUUUUGUGUUUAUGAGUAUGGAAGUAGUGGGAUUUGGUGUAUCUUAGCAUCUUUGGAAAAUUCUCUUUAAAUGUGGCAAACAAAAAUAUACAUAUAAUCAAGUUUCUUAAUCAACUAUCAUAACUGGCUAGCUAGUUCUUGCCUGCCUUGCUGCCAUUACCCAGGCCAUUACAUUGCAUAGCAUAAGGAAUAGUGAUUAGGUGCUUAUUAGUGAUUCGUUGAGCUUAUUAUUGACAAACCAACAUAUUCGCCUUUACCCACAACUUAGUUUGAUUAGUUAUUGUUGUGUAAUAGACCAAGUUCGUAACCCAACUGAAGCAAUUAAUCAGAUUUACAAAACAAGCAAGAACCCAGAAAACGAACCAGGGGAUACAGUCAAGUAACCAAGAACAAGAAAGAAAACUUAAUCAAGAGAUACAAAACAGAGGUUAACGUGGUUCAGUACCAUGAGUACUUACAUCCACGAUCAGGAACAGUAGAGCUAAAGCUUUAUUAGGAGAUAUCAAGAUUACAAUGGAAUCCACUCAGAGCAAGAAACUAAACUCACACAGAGAAUCUUUCUCAACUCACAAACUAUCUCACUUGACUAACUGAUCAGCUCUCUCUCUCACUGAAGCUAUAAAGCUAGCAGUUUACAGCUGGUUAUAACGACUAACUAAAACCACCUGGGGACCCACCCAUGCUGACUCAGCUUUCCAGCUCAGCUAAUAUAUAUAACCGAAUGUAACUAACUUGAUUCCACAAAUCUCCACCUUAGUUAACUCGGUUAUGGCUUUACUCAUCACUGCUCCAUCACCAGUUAACUUGUCUCACAAGUUAAUAACCCCAAUCAAGUCCAAGGAGUUCCUGAACUUAACUGUUGGCAAAGGUUUUGUUAGCAUGUCUGCUGGAUUUACUUCAGUAGGAAUUUUAAUGACAUUGAUUACACCAUUUCGAAUUUCUUCCCUGAUAAAGUGCAUCCUCACAUCCACAUGUUUUGUUCUUUCAUGGUACUUGGGGUUUUUGCUCAACUGUAUAGCACUUGAGCUAUCACAAUUGACAGUGACUGAUUCUUGUUCCAAACCCAGUUUUGUAACUAACCCCUUCAACCAUAAUGCUUCUUUCACAGCCUCUGUUAAAGCAAUAUACUCUACCUCUGUUGUUGAGAGAGCAAUUACUGAUUGUAAUGUUGACUUCCAGCUCACAGCUCCACCACAGAGAGUAAACACAAGACCAGUGACUGACCUUCUCCUAUCUAAAUCUCCUGCAAAGUCAGAAUCAACAGAUCCCACAACUUGGCUAGAUGCAUUACUAACUUGUCCAAACAUUACUCCAUACUCUUCAGUACUUUUAAGAUACCUUAGUAGCCAUUUAACAGCUUCCCAAUGUUCCUUGUCUGGAUUCCCCAUGAACCUGCUGACAAGACCAAUUCCAUAGGCAACAUCUGGUCUGGUACAGACCAUAGCAUACAUAAUGCUACCAACUGCACUGGAGUAGGAAUUCUCCUCAUGAGAUCAAUGUCUGCUUCUUCUCCUGGUUCCUGCUGUUUAGAAAGUUUGAAGUGUGCUGCUACUGGGGUAGUGACAGGCUUUGAGUUCACCAUCCCAAAUCUACUGACAACCUUUUUCAAAUAUCCAGAUUGUGUGAGAAAUAGAGUCUUGGCAUGUCUGUCCCUUUUGAUUUGCAUUCCCAGUAUCUUAGCAGCAGGACCCAAAUCCUUUAUUUCAAACACUGCCAUUAGCUCAGUGGGUGAGGAUAUUUCUUUACAGAAGGUAUUGGAAACUGUUUUUUACAUUAAUUAUUGUUGUAUAUAUACUUUAAUUUUCACAUCUUUUUCUCUGAUUCUUGUCACUUUACUUGCUUUCAUAUACAUAAAUUCUAAUGAAAUUAACCAUAAAAUUGUAUAAUGAUUUUGGGGCCAUAUCAUAAUUUUAGAAAGUUUGGGAAAGACGACUAUUCUUAGGAAGUUCUGAAAUUGGAUCUAUUUGUAAAGUUUUAUGACAUUUUGAGCCAUAGUAUAAUUAUAGAAAGUUUUGGGUCAAAGUAUAAAUUUAGUGAACAGAGUUACUGUAGCAAAUUCAAAAAUAACGGUAAUAUCACUGUUCCUGAGCGGCUAGCCGGAUAAUCAAGCGGCUAACCGCUUGGGCGCGGGAAUUUACCUAUAACGGCUAGUUUUCGGGCUUUCACUAUUAAAACUCAACUCAAACUUCAUUCCUUAAACGAAUGCAAGGAAAAACAAGAUCAUAUAACAUAUAUUGAGCUUCCAUUUCGCAAAUCAUCAUUGAUUGAAUGAUCAUUGAG